RNAcentral lists this ribosomal RNA (253 nucleotides) under uncultured bacterium. RNAcentral's name for it is "partial 16S ribosomal RNA". It matches the Rfam family "Bacterial small subunit ribosomal RNA", at positions 524 to 776 of the family's 1533-position model. The record is from RNAcentral.
UACGUAGGGUGCGAGCGUUAAUCGGAAUUACUGGGCGUAAAGCGUGCGCAGGCGGUGAUGUAAGACAGUUGUGAAAUCCCCAGGCUCAACCUGGGAACUGCAUCUGUGACUGCAUCGCUGGAGUGCGGCAGAGGGGGAUGGAAUUCCGCGUGUAGCAGUGAAAUGCGUAGAUAUGCGGAGGAACACCGAUGGCGAAGGCAAUCCCCUGGGCCUGCACUGACGCUCAUGCACGAAAGCGUGGGGAGCAAACAGG